RNAcentral lists this small RNA (1926 nucleotides) under Arabidopsis thaliana (thale cress). RNAcentral's name for it is "ATSL294920". Lineage: Eukaryota; Viridiplantae; Streptophyta; Magnoliopsida; Brassicales; Brassicaceae. The record is from RNAcentral.
AGUUUUUAAUUUGUCUCAGUUUGAAUAUUGAUAAUUGAUAAAUAAUCCACAUAUAACAGUUGUAUGUAUUAUUUAUGAACAAUAAAAUCUAUGCAGCAAAAAUAAAGUAACUAAAAUAUUCAACUCCUAUUCAAGAAUCAAAUUGAUAGAGUAAGCUGCAAUUUAUGGUGAAAGUAGUUUUACCAUAAGGUUUUCUCCUAAUUAUUUUAAGAAUAUAUUUAUUUCCCACAAUUGGUUAAUAAAAUUGUGAAUGAAUACAUUUUUUUUGUCUACAACUUGUAUUAUUGGGUUUAGACUCGAAAAUGACACAUUGAUAACAUUUGCACAAAUAACUAGAUCAUAUGUUUUUGUCAUAUUUUGAGCACAAUUUGUGCAUAUUUCAAGCAAAUUUUGAACAUAUAUCAAAUCCGUCAUAACCAAUUAAUGUUAUUAUUAGUACUUGUUUUCAUUAUAAUAAUGACGUCAUAAUCAAUACUGAACGUACCAGCGAAAUGAUGGUACAUAUCGGCUUUAAAAUAGUAUUCACCAAAUAUUGCUGGAGGCUUGUAAUCUUUUUUGCUGAAGACAAGUCAAUUAGGGCCAUUUCCAUUUGACUAAAUCUAUUUGUGCCUAAUGGAAAAAUAGAGAUAUAUACUUUAAGUUGAUGAAGCUUUUCGUUUGCUUUUAUGUUCCUAAUGGCAACGGUAUCAACUCGAUGAUUUAGACUCUUAAGGAACUUUACCAUAUCUUUAUGGAGAAUUAGGAAGUUUGUGGUGUUGGAUAAAGGGUAGAAGGGAGGAACCGCGAAAAAGAGUGUUCUUGUGAAUGGAUACACACAGAAAUACUAUGGAUUCGGGUUUUUUUCCUGCUCACAAGAUGAACAGUGAAUAGAAGUGGUAGAGAAUGUAGAUAUUAGUUCUGUUAAAGCUGAAUGUGUACAAAACAAUAUGGAAAGUUAGAUAAAUAAGAUCUUUAGGUCGGACCAAUUGUUAGAAGCCAAAAAUAAUCUCUAAACUCUCUUUAUUAAAACUGAGAAAAUGAUAGCGUAACAAGAUUAGAGUAAAACUCCUCAAAGAGAAACUACGUCCUCUUCUCCUCGGCCUAAUUCGACAGAAUCCUCCAAAACUCUCAAUUGCUUGGAUGCUUUUCAAAAACGAGACUACAUCCUUAUUUAUAAGUAAACGUAAACAAGCAUUCAAAGAAAAUAAGGAAAAAUAAAAAAUUAUAGGCAACUUCCUAAAUCUAAACAGAAACGUUGAUUGUUUUCCAAUUCACAGAUUGACUUGUUCUUGAUUAUUCUUUUUCCACAUACGUGAAUAAACAAUCCACGGUUUAGACUUCUAGAAACAUUCAUAUCAGAUACUUCAGUUUUUUUUUUCACUUUUUUUUUGUUGUUGUGCGAAAUCAGAUACUUAACUAUACGACAUAUGCAACUAUGCAAAUCUGAAAUGUACUUACAGUUUGUUGUGAAGACGAAAAGCAAGAUCACGAUUAUGAUUCUUGAACUGAUCAUCAUUCUUUUCUUUUCCUCUGCUUAUAACUAAUGGCUCAAGUUUCUUCAUUUUGGUUUAUGUGUAUUAUUUUAUUAAAUUACGAUAGAAGAAAUUAGGAAUUAAAGUCUAACUACUAGAAUCUGCAAAAUCAGAUCAUAUAUUGUUUUCCUAAUUUAGUUCAAGGCCAAUCUCUACUAGAGUCUGCAAUAUUAGUGUGCAGGAGGGGGGAAGUAAUCAUUUAAACCAGCAAACAGUAAAACACUGAUGUGUCGUUUUUACAAGAACUGGUAAAAGAACAUCCUGUUUUGUCCAAAACGAAAAAGACCACCCGGUUAUUGGGACUCUUAGUUAAAUGAGAAUUCCAAAUAUCAAAUUAAUCAACCAGUUUGGAUUAAUAACCGGUUUUAAUCCAAUUAUUGGGACUGCUUGUAAACCUCAUAAUAAAACUAAUAUG